CAGCAGUAGGGAAUCUUCCGCAAUGGGCGAAAGCCUGACGGAGCAACGCCGCGUGAAUGAAGACGGUCUUCGGAUUGUAAAGUUCUGUCAUUUGGGACGAGCGACCUUGAGAGGAAAUGCUCGAGGUGAGACGGUACCAAAGGAGGAAGCCCCGGCUAACUACGUGCCAGCAGCCGCGGUAAUACGUAGGGGGCAAGCGUUGUCCGGAAUGACUGGGCGUAAAGCGCGCGCAGGCGGUCUUUCGCGUCUGGGGUGAAAGGUCAGGGCUCAACCCUGACAUGGCCUUGGAAACGGGGAGACUUGAGGGUCGGAGAGGUCAGGGGAAUUCCACGUGUAGCGGUGAAAUGCGUAGAUAUGUGGAGGAAUACCAGUGGCGAAGGCGCCUGACUGGACGAAACCUGACGCUGAGGCGCGAAGGCGUGGGGAGCAAACAGGAUUAGAUACCCUGGUAGUCCACGCGGUAAACGAUGAGUGCUAGGUGUCGGAGGGUACCACCUCCGGUGCCGAAGGAAACCCACUAAG
RNAcentral lists this ribosomal RNA (522 nucleotides) under uncultured bacterium. RNAcentral's name for it is "bacterial SSU rRNA". It matches the Rfam family "Bacterial small subunit ribosomal RNA", at positions 349 to 864 of the family's 1533-position model. The record is from RNAcentral.